AGUUUCAUAGCGCAGGGGAAGCGCGCCGGACUGUAAGCCCGGAGGUCCUCCGAUCGAAACGGAGUGAAACUA
Molecule: non-coding RNA, 72 nt
Organism: Hypoxylon sp. FL1150
Lineage: Eukaryota; Fungi; Ascomycota; Sordariomycetes; Xylariales; Hypoxylaceae
Source: the annotation of a GenBank genome assembly